GUGCUUAGUUCGGCAGCACAUAAACUAAAGUUGGAACAAUACAGAGAAGAUUAGCAUGGCCCAUGUGAAAAGAUGAAAUGUAAAUCUGUGAAGCAUUCCAUAUUUUU
Molecule: small nuclear RNA, 107 nt
Organism: Ochotona princeps (American pika)
Lineage: Eukaryota; Metazoa; Chordata; Mammalia; Lagomorpha; Ochotonidae
Source: Ensembl